This 119-nucleotide ribosomal RNA is filed under the name Triticum aestivum (bread wheat). RNAcentral also lists the same sequence under 1 other name. Lineage: Eukaryota; Viridiplantae; Streptophyta; Magnoliopsida; Poales; Poaceae. The record is from RNAcentral.
GGAUGCGAUCAUACCAGCACUAAAGCACCAGAUCCCAUCAGAACUCCGAAGUUAAGCAUGCUUGGGCGAGAGUAAUACUAGGAUGGGUGACCUCCUGGGAAGUCUUCGUGUUGCAUUCC